RNAcentral lists this ribosomal RNA (465 nucleotides) under Vreelandella stevensii. RNAcentral describes it as "partial 16S ribosomal RNA". It matches the Rfam family "Bacterial small subunit ribosomal RNA", at positions 338 to 795 of the family's 1533-position model. The record is from RNAcentral. Lineage: Bacteria; Pseudomonadati; Pseudomonadota; Gammaproteobacteria; Oceanospirillales; Halomonadaceae.
CCUACGGUGUGCUGCAGUGGGGAAUAUUGGACAAUGGGCGAAAGCCUGAUCCAGCCAUGCCGCGUGUGUGAAGAAGGCCUUCGGGUUGUAAAGCACUUUCAGUGGGGAAGAAAGCCUUGGGGCUAAUACCCUCGAGGAAGGACAUCACCCACAGAAGAAGCACCCGCUAACUCCGUGCCAGCAGCCGCGGUAUUACGGAGGGUGCGAGCGUUAAUCGGAAUUACUGGGCGUAAAGCGCGCGUAGGCGGUCUGAUAAGCCGGUUGUGAAAGCCCCGGGCUCAACCUGGGAACGGCAUCCGGAACUGUCAGGCUAGAGUGCAGGAGAGGAAGGUAGAAUUCCCGGUGUAGCGGUGAAAUGCGUAGAGAUCGGGAGGAAUACCAGUGGCGAAGGCGGCCUUCUGGACUGACACUGACGCUGAGGUGCGAAAGCGUGGGUAGCAAACAGGAUUAGAUACCCCAGUAGUC